Molecule: long non-coding RNA, 1632 nt
Organism: Microcebus murinus (gray mouse lemur)
Lineage: Eukaryota; Metazoa; Chordata; Mammalia; Primates; Cheirogaleidae
Source: Ensembl
AAGCAGAAUAGCUUAAGGGGAAUAGGACCUUAUUGUAUCACAUUUCAGGAAUGAGCAGUGGGGAAACAGGAGCCAAGCCUGGAAAUGAAAAUGUCCUUGUAAAUGACCAAGAGAAGAUAGGAAUUAAAAUACACAGCUGUUAUGGUGCCAGAAAAUUGUCUGCCCUCUUUGAACAAACUGUCUCUCACAGCUGAUAUCUUUACUGGAAAACUCAGCCCCAAGUUUCUCAGCUGUUGUGAUCCAAAUCAGCAAGAUCUAAGCCGUAACGCACCCUCCAGUCAUUGGAACCUGGGAUUCAUCUGGCAACUGCGUGCCCUGGAUCAAAGCCAUGACCAACCACCCCAUCUUCAUGACUGAGCUGUUAUUGUCUUUGUUUCUUGAUUUGUGCCCAGGGUUCUCUCUUGGGUGUGAAGUUUUGCUUUCAAUGCUAAACCACUUCUCUUAGGUUCGGAGAGUUCACCUUGCUUUUGCCAGUACCUGUUCUUGAGGGAUGAACACUGAUCUCUCUGUAAGCACCAUUGCUGAGCAGAGUUCUAUCCCCACUCGGCCACCCCUUCACUUGCUUACUGUCUUCUGCCUUGUCUCACUGACCCCAUCAGGGACACUUGGCUACUGAUGCCAUAGGUCAAAGCUGAGCACACCAUUUACCAUUUGGAUGACUGGCCAAAGAUUCUUCAUGGUCCACCUUUGGCCUUAACUGUGCCCUGGCCUCUUCUCUCUAACUGAAGUCUCUGUGUGAAUUGGAGCUGAAAUGCCUGAGACACAAAAACUUGAGGAAGACAAACUCUAGAACCCUUUUUUUGCUAGUUGUCAGUACCAUUCCUUUCCCAUUACGGAUAGCAUCCAGUGUCACGAUCUCUCAAAGUACUUCCUAAAUCAGGGCUAAUAUUUCCCUGUCCAUGUCAUUAUUCCCCCAAAGUUUCAAGCCCAACUAUCUCAUCAGUUUAAAGCAAAGAAUUUUCAAGCUCCUCAUUUCUACAUAGCCUCAAUCUUCUCAAUCAUGCACCUCUAGUUUGAAAAGCCAGAAGUUUAGAAAAGAAGUUAGAGGAAUGAGAGACCUGUAUAAAUAAUAUUGAAAGUGCUAGCCUUGAGUUAAUUAGCUGUAAAAUGUACUUAGCUGAAACAUAUAGUAAGAUGAAAAGGAUGCAACCUAGGAAGCAUCCAAAGAGUUGAAAGUAACACAUUAUUUGUUCUUCUGAUUUUUAAAGUCAUUGAAUUGCCUGCAGUAAAUGCCUGUUGUCUUUUCUUGCUAAGGAUGCUGUCUUCUGGUGAUAAGACUCCUCUGCUUUUCUUCAUUCUCUUCCCAAGCUCUGUUAAUGCAGCACCCCUGACUACAAUGGUGGCAUGUGGGCCAGGCCUUGCUAAUCAGAACACUCCGUUCCCCCACGUGGGGUUAUUUCAGAGAUGAGCAAACAACUUAAACACAACAAAUCAGAGGCAACCCCUUUUGGGGUAAUAAUACUAUCAUUAUGGACUCUGGCAACCUUCGUUUGCUGAGAAUCAUUUUGUCCACCAUGCAUAGAAGACCUGCUACCGUGGAGGAGAGCAAGGUCUCAGGAUGCAACAGAACAUAUUUCUGAUGACACCACUUGACCUAGCCAUGCCUGAAGCUCCAUGUCUCAUGAACUAGUC